UACGUAGGGUCCGAGCGUCGUCCGGAGUGACUGGGCGUAAAGCGCGCGCAGGCGGCCCCUCAGGCGCGACGUGAAAGCCCCGGGCUCAACCCGGGAGGGUCGUCGCGAACCGUGGGGCUUGAGGCCGGUAGAGGUGGGUGGAACUCCUGGUGGAGUGGUGAAAUGCGUAGAGAUCAGGAAGAACACCCGUGGCGAAGGCGGCCCACUGGGCCGGUGCUGACGCUGAGGCGCGAAGGCGUGGGGAGCGAACGGG
This 253-nucleotide ribosomal RNA is filed under the name uncultured bacterium. RNAcentral describes it as "partial 16S ribosomal RNA". It matches the Rfam family "Bacterial small subunit ribosomal RNA", at positions 524 to 776 of the family's 1533-position model. The record is from RNAcentral.